UCCGCAGGACAGUUCUGUUCCGGACCCAGAGCUCAGACUGCGCGCCGCCACCCGGGGGCGUCAGGCCUCGCUGGGGAUUCAGUGGCUGAAACCCCGAAACUCCGAGCCGGGACGCCUACCUGUGCGCGAUACCUGGGCGCGGUGAGCGACCCAGAGGUACAGGGCCCCCAGGGCGGCCGGCCUGCCUACCACCCACCGCUUGGGCUCUGCAGGGAAACAGAGUCCCACAGGCGCCGUCGCCCUCUGCCCUCCACGGGUUCGAUCCCGACCACUCGGGUGAAGCGCUUGCUUCCCUAAAAGAAUACACGGAUGUCUAGGGGGAGAAAUGGGGAAAGGCGUCUUCUAUUUCGUCAGCGAGGACAACUUCUAGCGCAUGGCUUAACUUUCAGUUGCGCCGGGUAGAGUAGAUGAAUCACAGAAAGGCUAGUAUUUGGCUCAAGGUCAUACAAAAUGCCAAUAUAGCAUCUGGGAUCACUGGAAACACCGGGGAAUGCAGAAAAUGCCAGGACUCCUGAAACUGGCAUGUGUCCCUUAAAACACGUGAAUUAUUCCACCCUGCAGCAGCCACACCAAAUCCUUCAUUCCAUAGCUUUGAGGAUACUGCGAGAAUUCAGCUCCCAUUCUUAGAAAUUCAAAGAUGUACUAAUCCCUCAAA
Molecule: long non-coding RNA, 655 nt
Organism: Sapajus apella (tufted capuchin)
Lineage: Eukaryota; Metazoa; Chordata; Mammalia; Primates; Cebidae
Exons: 2
Source: RefSeq, a predicted model, not a curated record